Molecule: ribosomal RNA, 459 nt
Filed under: uncultured Smithella sp.
Lineage: Bacteria; Pseudomonadati; Thermodesulfobacteriota; Syntrophia; Syntrophales; Smithellaceae
Description: bacterial SSU rRNA
Rfam family: Bacterial small subunit ribosomal RNA
Source: RNAcentral
CCCGCACAAGCGGUGGAGCAUGUGGUUAAUUCGAUGCAACGCGAAGAACUUACCUAGACUUGACAUCCCGGGAAUUCUUAGGAACUAAGAAGUGCCUUUCGGGAGCCCGGUGACAGGUGCUGCAUGGCUGUCGUCAGCUCGUGUCGUGAGAUGUUGGGUUAAGUCCCGCAACGAGCGCAACCCUUAUCUUUAAUUGCCAGCAUUCAGUUGGGCACUUUAAAGAGACUGCCGGUGUUAAACCGGAGGAAGGUGGGAUGACGUCAAGUCCUCAUGGCCUUUAUGCUUAGGGCUACACACGUGCUACAAUGGGUGGUACAAAGAGAAGCCAACUCGCGAGAGCGCGCCAAUCUCAAAAAGCCAUCCUCAGUUCGGAUUGGAGUCUGCAACUCGACUCCAUGAAGUUGGAAUCGCUAGUAAUCGCGGAUCAGCAUGCCGCGGUCGAAUACGUUCCCGGGCCUU